AGCUCCAAUAGCAUAUGUUAAAGUUGUUGCGGUUGAAAAGCUCGUAGUUGGACUUCUGCUGGGGAUCGUUAACCCACCCUCUGGGUGUUGGUCUGACGUGCCUCAGUAUCUUCUCGGAGAAUGUAGAUGCACUUGACUGUGUGGUGCGCUAUCUGAGGCUAUUACUUUGAGGAAAUUAGAGUGCUUCAAGCAGGUCAUUGCCCUGAAUACAUUAGCAUGGCAUGAUAAGUCAGAACCUCUUGUUCUACUUUGUUGGUUUCGGAACAGAGGGGAGGAUGAAUAGGAACAGUUGGGGGUAUUCAUAUUUGACUGUCAGAGGUGAAAUUCUUGGAUUUGUGAAAGAUGGACUACUGCGAAAGCAUCUGCCAGAGAUGUCUUCA
RNAcentral lists this ribosomal RNA (380 nucleotides) under uncultured eukaryote. RNAcentral describes it as "SSU rRNA". It matches the Rfam family "Eukaryotic small subunit ribosomal RNA", at positions 587 to 972 of the family's 1831-position model. The record is from RNAcentral.